UUUCAGUGCCUAAACUGUAGGGAAAGACAGUCUCUUCUGUGGCCUCAAUGUGUGCCUCAAGGUGCAGAGGAAGUCAAGCAGGGCCAGGAGACCCGGUCCCCACACAGGGAAGAUGCUGUCUCCCCAAGCAGGGCGGCCUGCUCCUGGAGACCAAAGAGGAAUAAACCCCAGCAGGGUUUAGCGGUCCUCAGCCCCCACAGUGGAAGCAGCCCAAGCAGGAUGCACCAGGGCAGCAGCAGCUCCCUGGGUGCCCAGACAAGUCUAUACCCACGCGUGCUGCUCCAGCAAAGCCACACGAGGGGAGGCCAAAAGAGAAGCCCUGCCAAGGUGGACCUCCACAGGUCUAUCUGAUUCCGUGGAGCCCCAGCCCCGCGCAAGGCGAUGCGAGAGGGCCAGCACAAGAGAGGUGGCCAGAAACCUCACUGCCAUCUGAGAGAUGGCCAGAAGUCUGCCUGCCUCUGCCUCCACUGAGAUACCCAGCAAAACCUCAGUUGCAGGGGAACUAGAACAAAAUUGUAAACAAUUGGGAUCUCACCUUAUUAAGAAGCUUCUCCACAGCAAGAGAAACCAACAGCAGACUGAAUGGACAACACACAGUUUUUGAAAACAAAUUGACCAGAGAUUCCUCCAAGGAAUACUAUCUAGAAUACAUAAAGAACUUCAAAAAUCAGACCCCUCGGUAAAUGGAAAGACCUCAUCCAAAAAUGGGCUUCUGAAAUGAAUAGACAUUUCUCAGAUGAAGAUGUAGAAGCAGUGCAAAACAUUUGAAAAGAUGUUCAAUAUGUCUGCUCAUUGGAGAGAUGAAAAUGAAAGCAACAUUGUAACUCCCUCUUCUGGAGAAAGUAUAGCUGCUACCAAGAAAUUAACCAAUAACAAAUGGUGGUAGAGAUAUGGCAAAAAAGGAAUGCUUCUCCAGUAUUGCUGGGAAUGUAGACUGGUGCAACCACUGUGGAAAUCAGUAUGCAGAUUCCUAAAAAUAGUGGAUUCCAUGUCCCAUUUGACCCAGCUAUUCCCCUUCCUGUGUAUUUUCUCAAAAGGAUUAAAGUAUCAUACCACAGUCAUAUAAGCACACCCAUGUUGACAGCAACACAGUUUGUAAUAGCUAACAAAUGGACAUCAAAUGGGUAUUGGGUAAAGAAC
Molecule: long non-coding RNA, 1140 nt
Filed under: Heterocephalus glaber (naked mole-rat)
Lineage: Eukaryota; Metazoa; Chordata; Mammalia; Rodentia; Bathyergidae
Description: lncRNA (ENSHGLG00100046869.1)
Source: RNAcentral